This 384-nucleotide unclassified non-coding RNA is filed under the name uncultured Actinomycetes bacterium. RNAcentral's name for it is "uncultured actinobacterium contains 16S-23S intergenic spacer region". The record is from RNAcentral. Lineage: Bacteria; Bacillati; Actinomycetota; Actinomycetes.
UCCGAGUUGACCCCGGCAGUCUCCCAUGAGUCCCCACCAUCCCGAAGGACGUGCUGGCAACAUGGAACGAGGGUUGCGCUCGUUGCGGGACUUAACCCAACAUCUCACGACACGAGCUGACGACAGCCAUGCACCACCUGUACACCAGUAUCAAAGAGACCCCCAUCUCUGGGGGCUUCCGGUGUAUGUCAAACCCAGGUAAGGUUCUUCGCGUUGCAUCGAAUUAAUCCGCAUGCUCCGCCGCUUGUGCAGGCCCCCGUCAAUUUCUUUGAGUUUUAACCUUGCGGCCGUACUCCCCAGGCGGAGAACUUAAUGCGUUAGCUUCGGCACGGGGGGAGUCGACACCCCCCACACCUAGUGCCCAUCGUUUACGGCGUGGACUAC